GCGUUUGGACAAUGCUCUCGGGCACAUGGUGUGGUUCUUGGGGUGUCCUGUGCAGGGCCAGGAGUUGGACUCGAUGAUCCCUGUGGGCUCGUUCCAGCCUGGGAUAUCCUGUGGUUCUGUGGCACAGGUGUGAGGGAGGCCGCGGGAAGGGCGUGUCGCAGCGCCCCUGGGCCAGGGCCCGCCGGGGGACCGGGCGUGUCCCUCAGCCUGGCGGGAUGAGGAGGCCCGGGAGCGAUGAGGAAUCCAGCGGGGCUCGGGGAGCUGGGGAUUCCUAAACCCUCUGUGUGAGGGAUGCGGGACGGAGCCCGCGGGGGUGCUGGGGCCUGCUUAUCGUGGCCAGUGGGUUGCCAGGGAUUGUCUCUUGUCUCUCAGUUGUCUCUUCUUACCAGGAGCAGUCCUGCCUGCCCCUCCCACAGCUCCAAGUCCACAAGGCACUGACUUUCUGGAGCUUUGUAAACCCCGCAGAACAUCUGUGUAAAUCAAGACAUUUAUUUCUGCACCUUUGCUAAGGCCAACUGGCCUCCCUUACUCACUUGAAGCUGAAAUGGGAUCAACAAGACUUUGCAGAACAUCCUUCCACUCAUGUCCGAUGGGCUUCUUCUUUCCUCCAGGUGGGAAAAAUGCAGGGACAAUGACUGAAGAGCUGCGUGGAAGAGAGAAGGUUAUGACAGAGAUGGUCCCAUCAUCCACUGGCCACUCUCCAAACGGACAAAAGAGAAGAGAGGCAAUGGGUUGAGCACAAAAAUGGCCUGGAAGGAGGAUGCUCCAAACUAUCUGAGACCUGCAAUAAAAUAUGCAGGAAGUUAUUGCUGCUUCAAGUGGCAUUAAGUCCUACCCAGUGCCCAAUGUGAGUCACAGAGCACACACAAGCUCCAGUGGUGGCAGCAGCACAGCCUCUGCAGCUGUAGAGGGGUGGAAGCACCAGGCAGCAAGGGGAAGGCUGUCAUUUUGGAAAGGGAUGUGCUGGAUGGGAGGAGUGCAGCCAGACAAGCACAGGAGCCUUGGUCCCUCCAGCCAGGCACAAGGCUGGCUUCCUGGCUCCAGCACUCCCUCUGGACCCCCCUUGGAUGGUCUGUCAUUAAUUUAGUGACUGACUUGAACUUCAGCACUUAAAAGUGUGGAUAUUUCAGCACCUUAACAGUAACUGGAUCCUAUCCACUACUUAGCAGUGAUUUCAGACACUGACUUGAAUGAAACCUUUUCCCACAAUGUUCAAAUUCAGUUCUCAACAGCAAAAGGGUAAGAGGUUCAGUAAUAACACAGGAACAGGUGACCACUGAGAUGUGAAUAAAAUAGAGCAAAAUCAUGGUCUGUGUAUUGCCUUUCAUUACACCAGGACAUCUGUAGUGUGGAAAACUAAAUGAAAGACCUGGCAAAUAUGAAAGAGUAAAAUACCUCCAGCUGCACAUAAUAAAGCUGCAAUAGCAUUAGGGAGUCCUGGAGUCAUUACAAACUACAGAUACAAGGCUCCAUGGGUUGUUUACUUUCAUGAGGGACACAGGGCAAAAUUAUAUGUGCUCUGAAUAUGUGUAGCUUUUGUAAAUAUAUUAUUAGUUACAGUCAAGAUUCUGAUUUUGCCGUAAGAAUCAUGAGAAAGUACAGUCUUAGUGAAAAGUUAAGGAACUCAUAAUUUGCCCAAAUACUUUAAACCUGCAAACAAAUUAGCUUUUUCUUUUAAUUUGAAUAGCAACUCAUACCCCUUGUGAAUACUCUUAUCAUGUAUAUGCAAAACAAAAAAAAGUUUUAGAUACGCUUAACAGGCCAGAAUUUGUCUCAAGGUCAGUUGUACUGAUAUUUUUUUCCCUAAAUGUAAUUAAGUUUGUGUCUUCACAUUUUCUGAGUAACUGAAGAUUUUUAUUGUUUUGAUGCCAGUAUGAGGAACUGCCAUAAGAAUGCCCGUGUAGGAACUUCAUAUGGAAA
This is a long non-coding RNA of Chiroxiphia lanceolata (lance-tailed manakin), 1920 nucleotides long. RefSeq lists it as uncharacterized. The record is from RefSeq and is a predicted model, not a curated record. The transcript is spliced from 3 exons. NCBI's taxonomy places the organism in Eukaryota, Metazoa, Chordata, Aves, Passeriformes, Pipridae.